AUAAGAUUAGGACUCAUUUCGGGUCCUUAAUCCUCAAACCUGUGGAAGUGAGAAGUGCUUCGGCGCCUCCGGGCGUCGAAUCUAUGCUGUUUAGCUUGUGUCUGAAGAAAAACAAAAUUUUA
This 122-nucleotide unclassified non-coding RNA is filed under the name uncultured Archaeorhizomyces. RNAcentral's name for it is "sequence contains ITS1". The record is from RNAcentral. Lineage: Eukaryota; Fungi; Ascomycota; Archaeorhizomycetes; Archaeorhizomycetales; Archaeorhizomycetaceae.